ACAUCUGUGUUUGUGAUUUUGUAAUUAACAACUGAUUCUAUAAGAUUAUUAAAUUUCGCACAACAGAGAACACAGCUUGGAAGCGAAUACACGAAAGAUCACCAAUACAAUCUAAUCCCCGAUCGCGAUCAAGAUCAACUCUACUUGGACUAUUUCAAGUUGAACGUUUGAUCACUCGUCGUAGACACAAAGAGGGUACAGAAUAUCUUGUCAAGUGGCAGGGGUAUCCUACUGAGCAGUCGACCUGGGAACCGGCUCAGCACAUUACAGCCAGCAUCCGACACUAGAUAGUCAACGAGAGACCUUUACCCGUGACGCCGGGGUGUCGUUUCAGUCAAGACUGAAGACUCGGGGCCUAAAGUUUUCAGUCCCGUGUCAUUUAAACGUGUUUAGAGCCUUAUUUAGGACUGACAGAGAAACUCUUCUAGGUAGAAAAGAGCUAGAACGUCUGUGUCUUCCACCUACUGGUGGUAUAACAUAGAGAAACACGGCGAAGGUACAUGUGUUGUGUUUCCGGUCAGAGCGAAACCCUUCCUGAGACAAAGGACUAAGCAAACUGUGCAUGAUGGCCGAGUCACCAAGAUAAGCAUCUCUGUGGAGUCAGUUGUGUUUCAGGCUCGCACACGAGCUUGCACCUUGGACCUGAAAUAUGUACGAUGUUUUGAACAUU
Haliotis rubra (blacklip abalone) is the source of this 670-nucleotide long non-coding RNA. RefSeq lists it as uncharacterized. NCBI's taxonomy places the organism in Eukaryota, Metazoa, Mollusca, Gastropoda, Lepetellida, Haliotidae. The record is from RefSeq and is a predicted model, not a curated record. The transcript is spliced from 2 exons.